GAUGAACGCUGGCGGCGUGCCUAAUACAUGCAAGUAGAACGCUGAAGGCGGAGCUUGCUCUUCUGGAUGAGUUGCGAACGGGUGAGUAACGCGUAGGUAACCUGCCUGGUAGCGGGGGAUAACUAUUGGAAACGAUAGCUAAUACCGCAUGACAACAGUUAUUGCAUGAUAACUGUUUAAAAGGGGCAACUGCUCCACUACCAGAUGGACCUGCGUUGUAUUAGCUAGUUGGUGAGGUAACGGCUCACCAAGGCGACGAUACAUAGCCGACCUGAGAGGGUGGGCGGCCACACUGGGACUGGGACACGGCCCAGAGUCCUGCGGGAGGCAGCAGGAGGGAAUCUUCGGCAAUGGACGGAAGUCUGACCGAGCAACGCCGCGGGAGUGAAGAAGGUUGUCGGAUCGUAAAGCUCUGUUGUAAGAGAAGAACGAGUGUGAGAGUGGAAAGCUCACACUGUGACGGUAUCUUACCAGAAAGGGACGGCUAACUACGUG
This 495-nucleotide ribosomal RNA is filed under the name uncultured bacterium. RNAcentral's name for it is "partial 16S ribosomal RNA". It matches the Rfam family "Bacterial small subunit ribosomal RNA", at positions 28 to 507 of the family's 1533-position model. The record is from RNAcentral.